Molecule: transfer RNA, 73 nt
Rfam family: tRNA
About the family: Transfer RNA (tRNA) molecules are approximately 80 nucleotides in length. Their secondary structure includes four short double-helical elements and three loops (D, anti-codon, and T loops). Further hydrogen bonds mediate the characteristic L-shaped molecular structure. tRNAs have two regions of fundamental functional importance: the anti-codon, which is responsible for specific mRNA codon recognition, and the 3' end, to which the tRNAs corresponding amino acid is attached (by aminoacyl-tRNA synthetases). tRNAs cope with the degeneracy of the genetic code in two manners: having more than one tRNA (with a specific anti-codon) for a particular amino acid; and 'wobble' base-pairing, i.e. permitting non-standard base-pairing at the 3rd anti-codon position.
Source: Rfam
GCCGGGUUAGCUCAGCUGGUAGAGCAACCGCCUUGUAAGCGGUAGGUCGUCGGUUCGAGUCCGACACCCGGCA